ACAUGCAAGUCGAACGCUUCACUUCGGUGAAGAGUGGCGAACGGGUGAGUAAUACAUAAGUAACCUGGCAUCUACAGGGGGAUAACUGAUGGAAACGUCAGCUAAGACCGCAUAGGUGUAGAGAUCGCAUGAACUCUAUAUGAAAAGUGCUACGGGACUGGUAGAUGAUGGACUUAUGGCGCAUUAGCUUGUUGGUAGGGUAACGGCCUACCAAGGCGACGAUGCGUAGCCGACCUGAGAGGGUGACCGGCCACACUGGGACUGAGACACGGCCCAGACUCCUACGGGAGGCAGCAGUAGGGAAUUUUCGGCAAUGGGGGAAACCCUGACCGAGCAACGCCGCGUGAAGGAAGAAGUAAUUCGUUAUGUAAACUUCUGUCAUAGAGGAAGAACGGUGGAUAUAGGGAAUGAUAUCCAAGUGACGGUACUCUAUAAGAAAGCCACGGCUAACUACGUGCCAGCAGCCGCGGUAAUACGUAGGUGGCGAGCGUUAUCCGGAAUUAUUGGGCGUAAAGAGGGAGCAGGCGGCACUAAGGGUCUGUGGUGAAAGAUCGAAGCUUAACUUCGGUAAGCCAUGGAAACCGUAGAGCUAGAGUGUGUGAGAGGAUCGUGGAAUUCCAUGUGUAGCGGUGAAAUGCGUAGAUAUAUGGAGGAACACCAGUGGCGAAGGCGACGAUCUGGCGCAUAACUGACGCUCAGUCCCGAAAGCGUGGGGAGCAAAUAGGAUUAGAUACCCUAGUAGUCCACGCUGUAAACGAUGAGUACUAAGUGUUGGGUGUCAAAGCUCAGUGCUGCAGUUAACGCAAUAAGUACUCCGCCUGAGUAGUACGUUCGCAAGAAUGAAACUCAAAGGAAU
Molecule: ribosomal RNA, 856 nt
Filed under: human gut metagenome
Description: bacterial SSU rRNA
Rfam family: Bacterial small subunit ribosomal RNA
Source: RNAcentral